UGAGGAGUAUUGGGCAAUGCCCGCAAGGGUGACCCAGCAACGCCGCGUGGAGGAUGAAUGUCGUAAGAUUGUAAACUCCUGUUAGAGGGGAAGAAUAGUACCGGUUGGACCGGUAUAUGACUGUACCCUCAGAGAAAGCCCCGGCUAACUACGUGCCAGCAGCCGCGGUAAUACGUAGGGGGCAAGCGUUGUCCGGAUUUACUGGGUGUAAAGGGCGCGCAGGCGGGAUAAAAAGUCAGUGGUGAAAUCCUACAGCUUAACUGUAGAACUGCCUUUGAUACUUUUAUUCUUGAGUUCGGGAGAGAGAGACGGAAUUCCAGGUGUAGUGAUGAAAUACGUAGAUAUCUGGAAGAACACCAGUUGCGAAGGCGGUCUCUUGGUCCGACACUGACGCUGAGGCGCGAAAGCGUGGG
Molecule: ribosomal RNA, 413 nt
Filed under: uncultured bacterium
Lineage: Bacteria
Description: bacterial SSU rRNA
Rfam family: Bacterial small subunit ribosomal RNA
Source: RNAcentral